This 391-nucleotide ribosomal RNA is filed under the name Macrostylis sp. n. SYSTCO 3. RNAcentral describes it as "partial 16S ribosomal RNA". The record is from RNAcentral. Lineage: Eukaryota; Metazoa; Arthropoda; Malacostraca; Isopoda; Macrostylidae.
UUUGUUUUAUAAUAGAGAACUAGAAUGAAAGAGUGUACGACGCUUAAGCUAUUUAAAUUUUUAGAGAAAUUGAUAUUUAUUUCAAAAAGAGUAAAUCUCUAGAAAGACGAUAAGACCCUAUAAAACUACUAUCUUUUGAGUUCUGUGGGGCUUAGAAUAAGAUAUAGAAACUCUGAGGAUUGAGCUGGGGCGGCAACGAAUAGACAAUUGGAAAUAUAACACACAUGCGUGAAGAAGUAGAUCUUUUAAAGAUUUAGAAAAAGUUACUUUAGGGAUAACAGCGUAAUUUUCUAUAACUUUUAAUUUAUAAAAAGACUUACGACCUCGAUGUUGAAUUGAGGCGCCUGCCUCUUAAGAGAGGUUAGGGGGUCUGUUCGACCUUUAAUCCCUC